UUUCCACCUUAUAAUUCCAUAGACUCCUAUCUCUGGGACCUGCUGCCUGACAAACGGGGGCAAAAGCCAAAUUCGCUUAGGAACAGCCUCGUCCUCAAUUCCCCUCUUGAACUUUCAGGAAGGACCCUUGUGCCUUAGAGCCGGAGAAGCCUCAAAGAAACAAGUGGAACUGUUUAAAUCAUUGUUUUACGAACACGUUUGACAGCAGAAUCCCAGGUGUGCUCUAGAACUCACUUUGGGCAACACCUAUUUCCUGACUGGGGACUUGAUGGGACCGUUCCACGGCCCUAUCUGGGCGUGGGCUGAGGGUACUUGUAUCUGGGACCGGGAGAACCCAGAUUCUAGCCCAGUCAGUCCACAAUCAGCAUGGGACCCCAGGUUCCUGCUCUGUGGAGAGGACUGGCCCUCACCAUGGUGUUUUGCGCUUUCUUCUCCAACGCGCCCUGGAACGUUAAAGCGCCGCCCUCAUCACUGGUUAUUUAGCCGACGCGAUUAUUGAUGAACAGUUCAGUGUAAAGCCCCGCGAUCCCUCUCCAGGCCAUCGUAACAACUGAACUGAUGGCAGUGAGAGAGGGCUGCAGGUGAGAAGACCUGAGGGAUUUUCAAAGACGAGGAGGAAUCUGAGGCAGGCCUGGAAAGACGGGCUUCUGAACAGGAUCCUUCAAGUUGACUCCAGGGAAAAGGAUACCCAAGUGGGAACUUGGGUCAAGCCUGGGACAGGAAGCACAGCUGGACUGCGUGGAACUGGGGCAUCAUUAGGUGGUUUUCCUCUCCAUCCACCUCUUUCCCUCUGAGACCAAGUUGUCUUUCCUACCUCCCUCUAUAUGUCUGUCCACUCUCCUCCCUGAAGGCCGGCUUCCUCUACUCAUGUAUCACCACACAUGGCUGCCAGCGGCAAGUGCAAAGGACCUUCUGAUUGCCAGCACCCACCACCUUCAGACUGCCUCAGCCUUCCGCUACAUAGUUCAGAUUCCCAGGGAAAUAAACUGAUCGGCUUGGCCUAAUUCAGAAGGAAGAGACACCCAGGACCACAGCUGGAAGACCCUCCAUCUCUUGGUGCCCAGUUCCAGAUCGGGUGUUGACAGGAAGGUGAUGAUGGUCAUAGUGAAACGGAGCAGGACCCUGUGGUCCUCACCUGCCAUGUCCUCUGCCUGCAUUUUGUCUGUGGAAAAACUUCAGCCAAAGAAUAAGUUUAAUCAGAGAAGUCAGAAAAUGCAGAAACAAAGGAAAACAGUCAGAGGAGACCAAAUAAUAAUAGUUUAGUCAUUAAGCAUAGUCAAGGACCUUUAGUUCCUCCUUAAGGGCUAUAGAUCAUAUUCUGAGCCGUAUCCCGUGAGCUGUCAUAUAGAUACUGAGAUCCCCACCAGGCGGAAGAAGUUACCUACAUGAUGAGCAGGCUGUAGCCAUGACAUCAGCUGCCACAAUUCUGAGAACUGGCCUCAAAGAAAUGGGAACAAACCGACCCUGGAACAGAAGA
Lagenorhynchus albirostris (white-beaked dolphin) is the source of this 1477-nucleotide long non-coding RNA. RefSeq lists it as uncharacterized. Lineage: Eukaryota; Metazoa; Chordata; Mammalia; Artiodactyla; Delphinidae. The transcript is spliced from 3 exons. The record is from RefSeq and is a predicted model, not a curated record.